Molecule: ribosomal RNA, 497 nt
Filed under: uncultured delta proteobacterium
Lineage: Bacteria; Deltaproteobacteria
Description: bacterial SSU rRNA
Rfam family: Bacterial small subunit ribosomal RNA
Source: RNAcentral
UGGGGAAUAUUGCACAAUGGAGGAAACUCUGAUGCAGCAAUGUCGCGUGAGUGAAGAAGGCCCUUGGGUCGUAAAGCUCUUUUAUGGGGGAAGAUGAUGACGGUACCCCAAGAAUAAGCACCGGCUAACUAUGUGCCAGCAGCCGCGGUAAUACAUAGGGUGCGAGCGUUGUUCGGAAUUACUGGGCGUAAAGGGCGCGCAGGCGGAAUAGUAAGUCGGAGGUGAAAGCCCGGGGCUCAACCCCGGAGGGUCUUUCGAAACUGCUAAUCUAGAGAGGGUCAGGGGCCGGCAGAAUUCCUGGUGUAGAGGUGAAAUUCGUAGAUAUCAGGAGGAAUACCGGUGGCGAAGGCGGCCGGCUGGGGCCACUCUGACGCUGAGGCGCGAAAGCGUGGGGAGCAAACAGGAUUAGAUACCCUGGUAGUCCACGCCGUAAACGAUGAGCACUGGACGUCCGGAGGGUUCGACCCUUCUGGGUGUCUCAGCUAACGCAUUAAGUG